UACGAAGGGGGCUAGCGUUGUUCGGAAUUACUGGGCGUAAAGCGCACGUAGGCGGAUAUUUAAGUCAGGGGUGAAAUCCCAGAGCUCAACUCUGGAACUGCCUUUGAUACUGGGUAUCUUGAGUAUGGAAGAGGUAAGUGGAAUUCCGAGUGUAGAGGUGAAAUUCGUAGAUUAUUCGGAGGAACACCAGUGGCGAAGGCGGCUUACUGGUCCAUUACUGACGCUGAGGUGCGAAAGCGUGGGGAGCAAACAGG
RNAcentral lists this ribosomal RNA (254 nucleotides) under uncultured bacterium. RNAcentral's name for it is "partial 16S ribosomal RNA". It matches the Rfam family "Bacterial small subunit ribosomal RNA", at positions 524 to 776 of the family's 1533-position model. The record is from RNAcentral.